RNAcentral lists this ribosomal RNA (200 nucleotides) under uncultured bacterium. RNAcentral's name for it is "partial 16S ribosomal RNA". It matches the Rfam family "Bacterial small subunit ribosomal RNA", at positions 8 to 216 of the family's 1533-position model. The record is from RNAcentral.
AGAGUUUGAUCAUGGCUCAGGAUGAACGUUGGCGGCGUGCCUAACACAUGCAAGUCGAACGGAAAUAGCAAUAUUUGAGUGGCGCACGGGUGAGUAACACGUAGCUAAUCUACCUCAAAGCGCGGGAUAACGUGUCGAAAGACAGGCUAAUACCGCAUAAGCUCACGGAAAGCAGAGGACUGUGAGAAAAGGCGCAAGUC